Molecule: transfer RNA, 71 nt
Filed under: Deltaproteobacteria bacterium
Lineage: Bacteria; Pseudomonadati; Myxococcota; Myxococcia
Description: tRNA-Val
Rfam family: tRNA
About the family: Transfer RNA (tRNA) molecules are approximately 80 nucleotides in length. Their secondary structure includes four short double-helical elements and three loops (D, anti-codon, and T loops).
Source: RNAcentral
GCCCCCUUAGCUCAAAAGGAGAGCAACGGUCUUACAAACCGGGGACGGCCGUGCAAUUCGGUCAGGGGGUA